UUGCUCCGACUGGUCAAUAUUCACUAAAGUUUUGAACCUGAUCCUUACAUAAGUUAUUAUUUUCAUGCCAGCUCUGUUGUGGCUUACUCGAAUUUCUUUCUUUGUGGCAGUUUGCUGAUCUGUAGAUUGAGCGAGGUUCUAUACUCAUGAUGUAAAAUUAUAUAUUACAAUUUCACAAUUUCACAAUUCACGUACACUUCUGCCUUAAUAUUACCAUUAGUAAAGCAAGUAGGUGUCAGAAAUUUUUGGUGUGCAACUAUACGGUUAGUAGUUCAAUUGAUGCUUUUAUAAUAAAGUAAGGUAUGUGUCUUUUUACAUACAACAUAUGUUUCAAUUUCUAUUUAUACAAAAUGUGUGCAACAUAUGCUAAAAAGAAUGUGUUGAUGAUCUGCUCCAUCAUGUAUCAAUUUAAAAAUUAUGCAAACGUACGCUCAAAAAGAAGAAAUAAAUGUAAGCCAACACGGACCACACAUCUUUAUUUAAUCAUGAUUUAGGAUAUCGUAAUUCACAUAUAAAAAAAAUGUAAUUGAAGUUAUUUAGUUUCCUAUAUAUAUGGUGAUAUGAAGUUAUUUAAUUAUAGAAUAGUUUAAUGCAACAUCAUGUCGCUAUGCCUCCUGAUGCCAUGGGAAAGAUAACAUAUGUUGCUCCGACUGGUCAAUAUUCACUAAAGUUUUGAACCUGAUCCUUACAUAAGUUAUUAUUUUCAUGCCAGCUCUGUUGUGGCUUACUCGAAUUUCUUUCUUUGUGGCAGUUUGCUGAUCUGUAGAUUGAGCGAGGUUCUAUACUCAUGAUGUAAAAUUAUAUAUUACAAUUUCACAAUUUCACAAUUCACGUACACUUCUGCCUUAAUAUUACCAUUAGUAAAGCAAGUAGGUUACCAAGGCAACAAGAAGUAUGCAGUAUGCUUACUGUCCAUAAAUCAAAAAGAUUGUAGAUAGAAAAGAAC
RNAcentral lists this long non-coding RNA (946 nucleotides) under Daucus carota (carrot). Its description in RNAcentral is "long non-coding RNA (DCAR_LNC006174)". Lineage: Eukaryota; Viridiplantae; Streptophyta; Magnoliopsida; Apiales; Apiaceae. The record is from RNAcentral.